RNAcentral lists this ribosomal RNA (420 nucleotides) under uncultured fungus. RNAcentral's name for it is "eukaryotic LSU rRNA". It matches the Rfam family "Eukaryotic large subunit ribosomal RNA", at positions 1 to 422 of the family's 3401-position model. The record is from RNAcentral. Lineage: Eukaryota; Fungi.
GACCUCGGAUCAGGUAGGGAUACCCGCUGAACUUAAGCAUAUCAAUAAGCGGAGGAAAAGAAACCAACAGGGAUUGCCUCAGUAACGGCGAGUGAAGCGGCAACAGCUCAAAUUUGAAAUCUGGCCUUCGGGUCCGAGUUGUAAUUUGCAGAGGAUGCUUCGAGCAUGGUCUAGUCUAAGUCCCUUGGAAUAGGACGUCAUAGAGGGUGAGAAUCCCGUAUGCGACUGGGUGCCUAAGCUCAUGUGAAGCUCCUUCGACGAGUCGAGUUGUUUGGGAAUGCAGCUCAAAAUGGGUGGUAAAUUUCAUCUAAAGCUAAAUAUUGGCCAGAGACCGAUAGCGCACAAGUAGAGUGAUCGAAAGAUGAAAAGCACUUUGGAAAGAGAGUUAAAUAGCACGUGAAAUUGUUGAAAGGGAAGCGC